Molecule: RNA transcript, 2251 nt
Organism: Dinoponera quadriceps
Lineage: Eukaryota; Metazoa; Arthropoda; Insecta; Hymenoptera; Formicidae
Gene name: angiogenic factor with G patch and FHA domains 1
Exons: 10
Source: RefSeq, a predicted model, not a curated record
CCUAUCUGUAUUACCAAGCGUAUUGACAUUGUGAUCAUUACAUUACAUUAGUUAAAGAAAAAAUGCAAAGAGGUUAACAAACAUGAACAAUUAAAGCAUGGAUGAAUGCAAAAGGUAUAGCGAGAAUGAGGAAGGAGAAAUUAUAUCAGAUUUUGAAGAGGAUUUUACAGAAGAGUUAUCUAACUAUCCUCAUAUUUCACAAUUUAUAUACAAGCUACGUGACCAUAUCAAGAAGCAACGGAAGAAAAUUAAUAAACUACGAAAUAAACUUGCUGAACAGAAACAUCAAAAUCUACUUCAUGAGAAAAUAAGUAUAGACUGUGGGAUUCAAACAGAUCCUCUGAAUCUCGAUAAGUCUUCAUCGCAAGAUUGGAAUAUUAGUAACAAUGAUAGAUCACCUAGUAUAGUAGAUCAAGUGAAGCAGGUAGCAGAGUCAGCUUUAUUACAAACUGGUUUUGUAUAUGAAGAAACAUCUGGAAUGUAUUAUGAUUAUAAUACUGGAUAUUAUUAUGACACGAGACAAGGCCUGUAUUAUGAUGGAAAUACUGGGACAUAUUACUACUACGAUGAAGCUAGUAAGACGUAUCAAUUCCACAGUCAAGUCCAAGUUUGUACAAAUGAAGCUACCAAUACGCAUCAUCCUGUUACGCAAAAGAGGGAAGAACAGAGCUCUGGGAAAGUAGAUAAGGAUAACGUGAAAAAACGAAAAUAUGAAGAAGAAAAUUCGGGAGAACCUGAGGAUGGUGAAUGUUCAGAGAGCGAGACUGACGACAUAUCUGAAGAAAUUACUCCUGAUCUAUCUACUAAUAGCGAAAGCGACCGUGAAGAGGAACCAGAUAUAGCAAAAAGUUACCCACCAUGCAUGAGGAUUAUUGUGAAAGAGACUAAUUUGGCGAAAUUAAAAGUGGGAUGCCUUUUCGUCGUAACAUAUACAGGAGGUUCAUUGGGUAGAGAAGGAGAUCACUCGGUAUUGAUACCGGAUGUAAAUAUCAGCAAGUACCACGCACGCUUUAUAUACGACGAAAUGAAGAAGCAGUAUCAAGUAAUAGAUUCUGGCUCAAGAAACGGCACAUUUUUGAACGGCAAGAGACUGUCGGUAGCUAAACAGGAAUCCGAGCCUCACGAGAUAACGCAUGGUUCGGUCAUAAAGACCGGCGAAACAAAACUGCUGUGCCACAUUCACAACGGAAAUGAGACAUGCGGUCACUGCGAGCCAGGUCUCGUCCAACGGAACAUCAAUUCCUGCGAAAGCAAAACUUGGAAGAAAAAACUUCACAAGGAGGAGCUACGGCGUCUAAAACACAAAUUCGGAGUCGAUAAUGUUAUAUCCGGCAAUCAAUUCGCUUCGGGUUAUCAGGAUAGAGCGCAAGCUAGAAGACAAUACGUGGGUUCCUCCGAUCAUCAUGCUAAGACGCAACAGAGUUCCCUCGACUGGUCGAUAUCGAAGGACAACAAAGGAUUCAAAAUGCUGGCGAGAAUGGGCUGGUCAGAAGGUAGUUCCUUGGGUAAAGACAAAGACGGAAUAACGGAACCCCGACAACGAAAACAGUGUCGAGGGUAAAAGGAAGACGAAAGCGGAGAUCGCGCGCCUACCACCGAGAAAACUUGCCGGCCGGUGUGCAAGCCGCGACAACUUGAUUUUACGUACGUCCUCCUAAUCCUCGAUACAGUCCAUCGGAGCGGACUGAAUUGUCGCCAAAUUCACAAGAUUCCUCAGCAAAGUUUACAAAACAAUGGCUUCCUUCACCAGCCGUAAAUUGAUAGACCUUUUAUGGACCACUCGAGGAUUCUCUUCUCGCGAUUCUUCGACGUCUCCUCCAUAUUUUUCAUCGAUCAUAACGCCGGCUUCAUUAACGCCACAUUAAUGAGGGAGAGAAAGGGGAGAUGUGCGUCGUCGGUUCCAAAAGCAGAAUCGACGAAAUAACGCGCAAGAUUUACGAUACGCUAACCGAAUAGAAGAUAAGAAAAUUGAACGAAAAACGGAAGAAAGAGAGAAAGAAAAGCCAAGCGGCGGGAAGCAGAAAGAGGUAAAAGAGGGAUGAGAGAACUUGUGGCGGCGCGUUCGGAAGAGACGCAGGAGGCAACAGGUGGGAAGCCACAGUCACAAAUAAAUCCAACGCAAACAUCUCCGCUGUCUAGACGCCUAUUCGUUGACUAACCGUAGAUACCUAUCAAAAGCAGUCACAACAAGAGCGGUCUCGGAUCGAGCGAGGUGGACUUUUCCAACAUCGAGAUGGACGUUAACGUAGAG